This 396-nucleotide ribosomal RNA is filed under the name uncultured bacterium. Its description in RNAcentral is "bacterial SSU rRNA". It matches the Rfam family "Bacterial small subunit ribosomal RNA", at positions 29 to 424 of the family's 1533-position model. The record is from RNAcentral.
AGCGAACGUUUGCGGCGGGCUUAACACAUGCAAGUCGAACGGGCUGUUCCUUCGGGGGCAGUCAGUGGCGCACGGGUGCGUAACACGUAGGUAAUCAACCCUCUGGUUGGGGAUAACACUUCGAAAGGAGUGCUAAUACCCGGUAUGGCGCAGCGGUCUUCGGAUCGCGGCGAGAAAGACCCGCAAGGGUUGCCAGAGGACGAGCCUGCGGCCCAUCAGCUAGUUGGCGAGGUAACGGCUCACCAAGGCGAAGACGGGUAGCUGGUCUGAGAGGAUGAUCAGCCACACUGGAACUGAGACACGGUCCAGACUCCUACGGGAGGCAGCAGUGGGAAUAUUGCGCAAUGGGCGAAAGCCUGACGCAGCCACGCCGCGUGAGCGAUGAAGGCCUCGGUC